GCUCGAUACGUUUGCUUCAUGAGCUACAGCGCAUGUGUCGAAGCCUCGGGUAUCAGAGGACCAUCACUAGAUUCUACCAGCAGACACUGAAAGGGCUCUGAUAGUUUGCCUUGGUCUGGAUCAUUGGGAACAUCUAGUCUGAUGGACUGAGAGCUACAGAGAACAUGAACAUCCAGCUGUGGUUGUCUGAAGAGUCUUUUCUCCUUCAUCACUGUGAGGAAGAUCAGCACUGAUGUCCUCCUCAUCCUUCCAGUAAUAACAAUAAUGCUGCAGAUUCAGCUCCUCCCUUCAGAAUACAACUUGUCUUGUGACUGUUCAGUUUUUACACUUCACUGUCAGCAACACAUUAUUUAUUUCAUCCAUUUAUUUCAUGUGUUUACACAUCUUUACAGUUCACAAUAGUUAAAUAAUGUAGUUUUUAAAUGUGCAAUAAAGGUAAUAAUGAA
Long non-coding RNA from Amphiprion ocellaris (clown anemonefish), 446 nucleotides. RefSeq lists it as uncharacterized. The transcript has 2 exons. NCBI's taxonomy places the organism in Eukaryota, Metazoa, Chordata, Actinopteri, Pomacentridae. The record is from RefSeq and is a predicted model, not a curated record.